This 2112-nucleotide ribosomal RNA is filed under the name Triticum aestivum (bread wheat). Its description in RNAcentral is "partial small subunit ribosomal RNA". Lineage: Eukaryota; Viridiplantae; Streptophyta; Magnoliopsida; Poales; Poaceae. The record is from RNAcentral.
AUGUUCAAGCUCUGCAACUUGAAGCCAGCUUUGCCAACCACCUUUCCUGUGCCGGAUUUUAGCGACCAAGAUAUGUGUGAGAAGAUCAACUUUGCCAUUGACAAGAGCCUGUUCUUAUCAAGUGAUGCUGAAAAGAAUCAAAUUGACAUGGAGGAAGCAGGAAAGGACCUAAGCUCCAGCCAGAGCAAGGCAGCAUCCAUGGCAAACCCUCACGUGGUCCAGAAGCAUAAAGCAGUUUCAAUGAAGAAGAAUCUGCAGUUGCCUCAAACCAAGGAGAAGAUGGUGAGUGCGGAUGCUGAAGUAAAUAUGGUCAAGGAAGCUGUGCUUCAAACUGAAAUGCCAACUGUAGUGAGCAGAGAGCCAACCACCAUCAUAGGAGUUCAACAGAUCAAGGGGAAGACUCCCCUUUCAACAGUCCCACCAAAACCACCUAAGCAGCAAAAGAUUGUCAAGUUUGCCAGGGGCACAAAGGGGGAACAGGCCACAAAAGGUUCGGGGUUCAGGGACGAGAGAGAACUGCGAGCCGCAGCCAUUGAUGCAGGGGUGCCAAGUUCUGCUAGGUUGCUGCCAACUCAGACUAGAAAGAUGCCAACUACAGAUACCAGUGUGCCAACUGAUGUGUCAGUUAGCAGCGUGGUCACAGUCAAAACCACCAAAGCUGCUCAGGAAGGCACCACUGCAACUGCAAGCCCCAAGGUGCCUACUCAUAGAGAUGCUUCAAUGCCAAACACAAAAGGAGGUGAUCCUACUACCAAAUUGCCAUCCCCAAGAGCUAGCACACAGCAGCCAAGCAAGCCUGCAUCACCAAGAGCUGACUUUCAGCAACCAUUAACACAAGAGGAGGUGUUCAACAUUAUAAGUAGGUGCAAGCCUCCAAGUCCGCCAACUACAACACUAUUGCGAACCAAGUCAGUGAACGAUGCACCCGUGUUUGUGCCGCAAGGAGAUGCGCUGGUCCUUGAACCCAUACGAAGAUCAAAGUCUUAUCAUGGUGACGGGUUCUGCGAUGCACCAUCUUUUGACCUCGGCAUAGAUGGUGAUGCUCCAGCACCUGCUCCAGCAGCAGAAAUAGCGGAAGCCGGUGUGAUUUGUAUUGAUGAGUGUGAGUUGGACCCAGCAGCUGUGAAUGAAGAAUGCGCUGCUGCUGAUGCUGGCAAGGCAAUAGCUCAAGAGCUAGAUGUUGGAUCACCAGAGAAUUGCCACACCCCGAUAUGCGCAGAACCAGAAGCUGGCACGAGCAGUUCUUCGGGACCACCUAUUGCACGAAGACAGAGGAGGGUAAUAAGGCCCGCAGCAUCUCAAAGGUCUCCAUUCAUUGACUACAACAAGAAGAAGACUUUCAGCUCCAAUGAGGCAGUGAACAAGCUUUACGCUGCCCUCUUGUAUUGGGUCAGGCAUCACGAAGGAGCAAAUGAUGAAGCUACCAGCCCUGAGAUAAUCAGCUAUGGUGCUUUCUACAUUUCUUUAAAGGAGUUAGUUGAUUCGAUGAAGCCGGUUCAAUGGCUGUCAAAAAUUGUUAUUGAGACUGGAAUCUUACACAUCAUGGAUAACUUACCAGAAGGGUCAAAGAAGGUUGUUAUGCCACUGAGGUUUUCUAUGAAUUUACAGCAAGGGAUCCACAACGUGAAUGAGAUAAACAAGAAGUUUGAUUACAAGAACUGUCUCGACAAGAAAGACUUGGUCAUGCUGCCAGUGCUCGAGUGCGCUGAGGUAACCGAUAAGGAGGGAGGGAGGCAUUAUUGGGUCUUCAAUGUCAACUUGAGGGACGGACGCUUUGAAGUUCUUGACUCAAACAGGACGCUGGACAACAUUGAGCUGAUGACCACCGCCUCUACCAUCGCGGGGGCAGUACGCCAGCUAUGGAGGAAGCAUUAUCCAAAGUUCAGCAUCGAGCACUUCCAGAUUAUUGACAUUGACGUACCGAAGCAGCUCGGCAAUAAUGAGUGUGGGCUGUUCGCACUGCUUAACGCCACCGAGUGGAACGGUAGCCAACUGCCCAACUACGAACCCAAGGAAGUACUCAACAUCAGGAAGAAGCUGGCAUAUGAUUGGGUCACCAGCGCGCACAACACCGCCCCAUGGAGGAAGUUGCUGAGAUACGACAAGGACUAG